Salvelinus namaycush (lake trout) is the source of this 727-nucleotide long non-coding RNA. RefSeq lists it as uncharacterized. The record is from RefSeq and is a predicted model, not a curated record. Lineage: Eukaryota; Metazoa; Chordata; Actinopteri; Salmoniformes; Salmonidae. The transcript is spliced from 2 exons.
UACACCCCCAGACCUCUCUCUCUCACAUGGCCUCAAUACACCCCCAGACCUCUCUCUCUCACAUGGCCUCAAUACACCCCCAGACCUCUCUCUCUCACAUGGCCUCAAUACACCCCCAGACCUCUCUCCCUCACAUGGCCUCAAUACACCCCCAGACCUCUCUCUCUCACAUGGCCUCAAUAUACCCCCAGACCUCUCUCUCUCACAUGGCCUCAAUACACCCCCAGACCUCUCUCUGACACGGCACAACUGUUGUUGAAGGAACAACAUCGUCCAGUGUUUUAUCCUCAAGACAAAUCAACCUGGUGUUGUCCCAAAUGGCUUCCUCAUCACUGCUUUUGACCCCGAAGGGAUUUGAGUCAAAAGUAGUGUACAAUGUAUUUGGGAAUAGUUGACCAUUUUGGUACGGAGCCAGUAUACCAACCACCACCAACUGUAACACAGCAAUCCAUGUUUCGUAUUUUAACAGGGCGGUCCUAUUCAUGUCUACAUCCCCUGUCUAGGGCACUACGUUUUGAUUAGAGCAAUGGGGGCCCAUUUACGAUCAGUACAUCUAUCAGAUAUGUCUAGGUGGGUCUUACUGUAGGAUGUCAACAUGGUCCCUGCCAGACAUGUCUAGGUGGGCCUUACUGUAGGAUGUCAACAGGUCCCGGCCCUGCCAGACAUAACUAGUCUUAUACAAUUUUUCUCCUGUUUAUUAAAAACCCAAUAAAUCUGUGAUCAUGAA